Phalaenopsis equestris is the source of this 1792-nucleotide RNA transcript. It is a transcript of the gene named cyclin-T1-5-like, with no coding region annotated. Lineage: Eukaryota; Viridiplantae; Streptophyta; Magnoliopsida; Asparagales; Orchidaceae. The transcript is spliced from 9 exons. The record is from RefSeq and is a predicted model, not a curated record.
CCGCCACUCAUACCCUGGCCGAAGACCUUGUCAAUCUCGUUCUUCAAUCCGUCUAAUCUAGUCAUUCCCUAUCUUUCUGCAACAAGUGCAAAACUCGCAAUCCCCCAUUCAAACCCAUCGUCCGAUCUUCUUUCCAUGCCCAUAUCUAGGGCUCAUCAUCAAUCCCGCGCCGUUGCGGCGGGCGUCGGCGCUGCAACCUCUUAUCCAGUUCAUACCUGGAAGCAUCAGCAUCGCUACGAUGCCGCCGGUGACGAUGAUAUUGCUCCUUUGGCGAAGAGGAGGAAGCUGGCCGCUCCCUCGUCAGAAGUCAGCUGGAGCUGGCCCCGGUACUCGAAACCUGGAGGCAAAACCUUCGCGACGUCACAGCUUCCUAUGCCGCACGACGAUCCCACCGGUCCAGGCUGCGUAUCUGCUCAGAGGCAAUCGGAAGUGGAUGAAAUGCCCGUCAUGUCGCGGGAUGAGAUCGAGAGAUGCUCGCCAUCGAGGAAGGAUGGUAUUGAUAGAUACAUGGAGACGCGCCUUCGUUACUCCUAUUGUGCUUAUCUUCAGAGCCUUGGGAUGAGACUAGAUCUGCCUCAGACGACGGUUGGUACUGCCGUGGUGCUUUGCCACCGCUUCUUUCUUCGUCGAUCUCAUGCUUCUAAUGAUAGAUUUUUAAUAGCUACAGCAGCACUUUUCUUAGCUACAAAGUCUGAAGAAACACCAUGCCUAUUGAAUUCUGUGCUCAGCGCCUCCUUUGAAAUUUGUCAGAAACAUAAUUUUGCUUUCUUUCCACAUUUGUUGUAUGCUCAGGACUGGUUUGAGCUAUACCGAGACCGAGUUGUUGAAGCUGAGCAAUUGAUUCUAACAACUCUAAAUUUUGAACUCAAGGUGGAACAUCCCUACGUUCCUCUUACUGAUAUUGUUAAGAAGUUAGGACUAUCACAAACUGUUUUGCUGAAUUUGGCUUGGAACCUGGUCAAUGAGGGACUUCGGAGUUCACUUUGGCUACAGUUUAAGCCUCAUCACAUAGCUGCUGGAGCAGUAUUUCUUGCUGCCAAAUUCCUUAAUUUUGACCUUACAUUAUAUCAGCACAUUUGGCGAGAAUUUCAGACAAGAGCACCAGUUCUUGAAGAUGUUGUGCAGCAACUUAUGGAGCUUUUGUAGCACAGCUUUAUUGCCUCCCCUAAGCCCUUCUCCAUAUCUGACAUAAAUGAAGGAUGAUGCAAUUCAGAGCCAAAUAGAAAACCUUUCUCCUUCAGCAAGCAAAAGGCACUGAACUUUCAAAACCAAAGCAGUGACGCGGAAACAACUAUACCAGCAGCUUUCCACAUCCUAUUUUAUAAGAAAAUCUCAACGAAACAAGUUCUAUAUAUGAAUGGAAGGAUAGAUGCGAACAGUUAUAGUACCUGAUUGGAGGAGCAAGUGUAGAAAUUGCAGCCGAGCUUGGGACAGAGACAGCUAGUCCUUGACAUUGAUGAAAUAGCUUGUGCUGGAGCAGAUUGGAGUGUGGCUGAGGGGCUGAGUCUAAAGAAGAGAAACUAAGGCGUGGAAAGCUCAUUCCCGUGCGAAACCAUUGGCUGAGCAGUGAGCGACAAGGGGUGAAUGAAAAGGCACAGAAGGGUUUCGGGGGAUGGCACGAAAAUUUGACAGGGAAAGAAAAGGAAGAUAACGGGGUGCGGUAUUUGUGCUUGUUAGGCAAUUUUGGGUGUGAAAUAGGUAAUUUUAAUGUUUAGAGUCUGGAAUAUGUAAUUUCUUAUGUUUUGGGUGCUAUACAUUAUUUUAAAAUGGCGUCAUCCUCUAUUUAUGAUAU